Molecule: ribosomal RNA, 465 nt
Filed under: uncultured bacterium
Lineage: Bacteria
Description: partial 16S ribosomal RNA
Rfam family: Bacterial small subunit ribosomal RNA
Source: RNAcentral
CCUACGGGAGACAGCAGUAGGGAAUCUUCCACAAUGGACGAAAGUCUGAUGGAGCAACGCCGCGUGAGUGAAGAAGGGUUUCGGCUCGUUAAGCUCUGUUGGUAGUGAAGAAAGAUAGAGGUAGUAACUGGCCGUUAUUUGACGGUAAUUACUUAGAAAGUCACGGCUAACUACGUGCCAGCAGCCGCGGUAAUACGUAGGUGGCAAGCGUUGUCCGGAUUUAUUGGGCGUAAAGCGAGUGCAGGCGGUUCAAUAAGUCUGAUGUGAAAGCCUUCGGCUCAACCGGAGAAUUGCAUCAGAAACUGUUGAACUUGAGUGCAGAAGAGGAGAGUGGAACUCCAUGUGUAGCGGUGGAAUGCGUAGAUAUAUGGCAGAACACCAGUGGCGAAGGCGGCUCUCUGGUCUGCAACUGACGCUGAGGCUCGAAAGCAUGGGUAGCGAACAGGAUUAGAUACCCCUGUAGUC